Molecule: transfer RNA, 75 nt
Filed under: Blastopirellula sediminis
Lineage: Bacteria; Pseudomonadati; Planctomycetota; Planctomycetia; Pirellulales; Pirellulaceae
Description: tRNA-Asp
Rfam family: tRNA
About the family: Transfer RNA (tRNA) molecules are approximately 80 nucleotides in length. Their secondary structure includes four short double-helical elements and three loops (D, anti-codon, and T loops).
Source: RNAcentral
GCCCCUGUAGAGCAGCCCGGAGUGCUCGCCGCUUUGUCACGGCGGAGGUCGCAGGUUCAAAUCCCGUCAGGGGCG